RNAcentral lists this ribosomal RNA (253 nucleotides) under uncultured bacterium. RNAcentral's name for it is "partial 16S ribosomal RNA". It matches the Rfam family "Bacterial small subunit ribosomal RNA", at positions 524 to 776 of the family's 1533-position model. The record is from RNAcentral.
UACGGGGGGGGCAAGCGUUGUUCGGAAUUACUGGGCGUAAAGGGCGCGUAGGCGGCUCGCUAAGUCGGAUGUGAAAUCCCCAGGCUUAACCUGGGAACUGCAUUCGAGACUGCAUUGCUAGAGUAUGGGAGAGGGAAGUGGAAUUUCCGGUGUAGCGGUGAAAUGCGUAGAUAUCGGAAGGAACAUCAGUGGCGAAAGCGACUUCCUGGACCAAUACUGACGCUCAUGUGCGAAAGCGUGGGGAGCAAACAGG